This 79-nucleotide transfer RNA is filed under the name Campylobacter showae RM3277. RNAcentral describes it as "tRNA-Arg". It matches the Rfam family "tRNA". Rfam says of the family: Transfer RNA (tRNA) molecules are approximately 80 nucleotides in length. The record is from RNAcentral. Lineage: Bacteria; Pseudomonadati; Campylobacterota; Epsilonproteobacteria; Campylobacterales; Campylobacteraceae.
UGUCCUCAUAGCUCAGCUGGAUAGAGCGCAGAAUUCCUAAUUCUGAGGCCGUGAGUUCGAAUCUCGCUGGGGACAUUCU